This 253-nucleotide ribosomal RNA is filed under the name uncultured bacterium. RNAcentral's name for it is "partial 16S ribosomal RNA". It matches the Rfam family "Bacterial small subunit ribosomal RNA", at positions 524 to 776 of the family's 1533-position model. The record is from RNAcentral.
UACAGAGGGUGCGAGCGUUAAUCGGAUUUACUGGGCGUAAAGCGCGCGUAGGUGGUUAAUUAAGUUGGAUGUGAAAUCCCCGAGCUUAACUUGGGAAUUGCAUUCGAUACUGGUUGACUAGAGUAUGAGAGAGGAAGGUAGAAUUCCAGGUGUAGCGGUGAAAUGCGUAGAGAUGUGGAGGAAUACCGAAGGCGAAGGCAGCCCCUUGGGAAGAUACUGACGCUCAUGUGCGAAAGCGUGGGGAGCAAACAGG